Molecule: ribosomal RNA, 358 nt
Filed under: uncultured bacterium
Lineage: Bacteria
Description: bacterial SSU rRNA
Rfam family: Bacterial small subunit ribosomal RNA
Source: RNAcentral
AGCGAACGCUGGCGGCAGGCCUAAAACAUGCAAGUCGAGCGCUCGUAGCAAUACGAGAGCGGCAGACGGGUGAGUAACACGUGGGAACGUACCCUUUGGUUCGGAACAACCCAGGGAAACUUGGGCUAAUACCGGAUAAGUCCGCAAGGAGAAAGAUUUAUCGCCGAAGGAUCGGCCCCGCGUCUGAUUAGCUUGUUGGUGAGGUAACGGCUCACCAAGGCGACGAUCAGUAGCUGGCUGAGAGGAUGAUCAGCCACACUGGGACUGAGACACGGCCCAGACUCCUACGGGAGGCAGCAGUUAGGAAUCUUGGACAAUGGGCGCAAGCCUGAUCCAGCCAUGCCGCGUGAGUGAUGAA